Long non-coding RNA from Cryptomeria japonica (Japanese cedar), 469 nucleotides. RefSeq lists it as uncharacterized. The record is from RefSeq and is a predicted model, not a curated record. Lineage: Eukaryota; Viridiplantae; Streptophyta; Pinopsida; Cupressales; Cupressaceae. The transcript is spliced from 3 exons.
CCUGCACAGGGUGGAACACAAUCUGCACAUGAUGAAGAUCGUGGUGUGCAUCCCAGUAUUGGAGAGCAUGUAGACCAUGGUGAGCAAGUUGAGCAUGACCCAGGUAGACAACAUCAAGAACGUGAUGGGGACCCACCAGGCAAAGAGGACCAUUGUUAUUUCUUUAAAUGAAUUUAAUUGCAAUUGGUGUAUUGAUUAAUGUAACCUUUCGUGUUUCAACUCCAGAGGAUUUAGAGGGUGUUUAGGAUGUUGAGGAUGAGGCUAGUCAAAAUGAUCAGGAAGAUGAUGUGGCCCCAUCAGACCCCCCUUUGCAUACACGUCCUCAUUGUGAGUACAAGACUAGGCAUACAUUAACUAGAUCACGAGCAGAGGGCAGAAGAACUGAAGAGGGGACAAAUGAUGAAGAAAACGAUCGUCCACUUAGUCUUUACCUCUAAGCUUCAAAAAGAAAGAAAAAAAUGAUUGUAAU